UGCGUAGGCGGGUUUCUAAGUCAGAGGUGAAAGCCUGGAGCUCAACUCCAGAACUGCCUUUGAUACUGGAAGUCUUGAGUAUGGCAGAGGUGAGUGGAACUGCGAGUGUAGAGGUGAAAUUCGUAGAUAUUCGCAAGAACACCAGUGGCGAAGGCGGCUCACUGGGCCAUUACUGACGCCGAGGCACGAAAGCGUGGGAGCAAACA
RNAcentral lists this ribosomal RNA (206 nucleotides) under uncultured bacterium. Its description in RNAcentral is "partial 16S ribosomal RNA". It matches the Rfam family "Bacterial small subunit ribosomal RNA", at positions 568 to 774 of the family's 1533-position model. The record is from RNAcentral.